RNAcentral lists this transfer RNA (69 nucleotides) under unidentified. RNAcentral's name for it is "Paradorydium reflexana tRNA-Asn". The record is from RNAcentral.
UUAAUUGAAGCCAAAAUACGAGGCAUCUUAAUGUUAAUAAGAAGAAUGAUUUAAAAUAAUCCAAUUAAA